AUAAAGUUAGCCUGCCACAAGUAUGUCACUGUAGUAACAACAACACAAGUUUGCUGUCAUCCAAGGGAAACAGUACAAGUUUGCUGUCAUUCCAGGGCUGGGUGGGACUCCCAGCUUCCAGGGAUGCCUCUGCACUGUGAGCUCAGCAGCAACCGACCAGAGAAUGAAGCAGAAACUCCCAGGGCCUGGAUGGGGAGCUGGUAGCACACAGAUUCCUCUUGCUACCAUUUAAAUGACACCGUUUCUCAGCCAGCUCAAAUUCAUGCACGAAUCCUGCAAGAAUUUCUUUCUGAUUUUAAAAUGCCGGGAUCUACGACUGGAGGAGAAUGACCUAUUCAGGUAUCCUGGUUGAAAAUUGGAUGAAAGAAUUAUCUAACAUCAACUUAUGAUGUGACCACGCCAGAGUAUCCACCAUGUAACAUGAGCAACCCGAAAGGAUGAGCUUCAGAUGCGGUGGAAGACAGUGUGGCCUCCAAAACUACUUCCAGGCACCCCUCCUGCAACCUCUCUUAGGUGGUGACGUCUGUCCCACCCUAACAGAGUAAAGAGCAAGGCUUUCUAGCCAAACUCAACCUAUGGACCGAUAGAACUUCAUCUGAGAACUGAAGACUGCCAGGGAUUUGGACUGCAAAGCUGCUAACGGAGCCCUCCCCAACCUGGCCUCCCUCACCACUCCCAGACUGAAAAUCUAGCUGGCAAUAGAAAUCAGUCAACACCAAGAGUCAAGAGAAAGCUUUUUCCACGAUUGUUCUGCAAGACUGGAGGAAGAGAGGCACCACGACUUGGGACCGACUGGAACAAGCCGCUUAAAGGCGAAAAGGGUGAGGAGCCAACAGCAAGAGAGACACGCAGUAAAAGGAGAGCUCAUCUAAAACGA
Molecule: long non-coding RNA, 877 nt
Filed under: Oryctolagus cuniculus (rabbit)
Lineage: Eukaryota; Metazoa; Chordata; Mammalia; Lagomorpha; Leporidae
Description: lncRNA (ENSOCUG00000035613.1)
Source: RNAcentral